UAUUUUGGCAGAUAAGUGCUAUGGAUUUAGAAUUCAUUUAUGUAAGAAUUUUCUUACAAAUA
This 62-nucleotide transfer RNA is filed under the name Platycnemis phyllopoda. RNAcentral describes it as "tRNA-Leu". The record is from RNAcentral. Lineage: Eukaryota; Metazoa; Arthropoda; Insecta; Odonata; Platycnemididae.